RNAcentral lists this long non-coding RNA (687 nucleotides) under Equus caballus (horse). RNAcentral describes it as "lncRNA (ENSECAG00000059056.1)". The record is from RNAcentral. Lineage: Eukaryota; Metazoa; Chordata; Mammalia; Perissodactyla; Equidae.
CAGAAGAGGAGUGAACCAGACUCUUUGGUAUUGAGGAUUUAGAGAAAAGCAGCCUCGCUCCUUGGAGUUGUCGAACAUUAGACAGGUGGGGAGAAGGUGGCCCGGGCUUUGGAGAAAUCUGCAUGACUCUGGGACAGCCGUCCCAGUGAUCCAAGCAGCUGAGGUCUGGUGGAGGCACCACCUCGACACACUUCACACUGCCACAGAGUGGAGAGAGGCUGGAGGACUCACACCUGCUCUUCUCUGCUUCAGCCGGAAGUGACACUUAGACUAUGGCCCAUUGGCUAGAUCAAGGCACAUGUCUCUGCUUGAGUGCAGGCGGCAGGAAAUGGGGAGCACGCAUCUGCAGUCGAGUCUCUGCUUCCAGCAGUAGCACAUGCAGUAGCAGCCUCUGCCAAAAGCCUAUAGGACCUGCUACAGUUCACGUCCAAACUCCUGCCUGACCCUCAGCAACUCCCAGGACGUGGCCCCAUCUGACACCUCCCAGCCCAUGGCCCAGUUCUGUCUGGUGUGAACUCUCUGCUCCAGGUGUACCAGGCAGAGCCCUUCCUCCAGGCGUUUGCUCAUGCCGUUCUCCUUGUUUAUCAGUCUUUUACCGCUUUUGUCCUAAGUUCUUCAGGGCCCAAAUCCAGGUCAGUCUCUUUUGUGAAGCCUCCUUUUGGCUUAGCCCUUAUUUUUUUAAGGACU